UGAACUGAACUGCUACAGAAAUGCAUGUACUGUUGUAUGUGUGUAUUUGUGUUCAGUUCCCGGUUGGAGAGGGUUUCAAUCUGCUGCUGUAUCCGUUAUCUGUGAUGGGGCCGUAUGGAUCUCACACCGUUCUGAUACCAGCGACCGGGACAGAGCAGAACACACAGCGCAGCCAAACUCCACAGGCAAACAGCAGCAAGAUCAGCGCUCAUAGUGAGUCCAAGCCAUUACAUGCAAACAGUGGGUUUCUCCAGCCAGACCCUGCCCCUGACUCCGCCCCUAGUCCCACCCAUCUCCCGUCUGAAUCUUUGCCUUUGCAGGGGCAGUUUCAGAUGUCACAUUUUGUCCCCUCAAAUGUCCCUCUGCAGGUCUAUUCAUUUUUUCAGCAGACUGUUGUCUCAGACUCGGGCAGUUCAGAGGAAGAAGCCGCUGCUCAGGUGAUCUAUAUGGUUCCCAUCAGCGUGGGUUCACCCAGCAUGGGUGUGAUGGAGGGCACGGGGCCCAAUCCUGGCCCUGGACCCCUGCAGUUCAUGGGCAGCACCACUCCUGCUGCGGCGCAGCUGGACGCUCGGGGACAGCGGGCACAGACAGAGACGCUCGCUCCAGGAGUCCUCUGA
This 617-nucleotide long non-coding RNA is filed under the name Carassius auratus (goldfish). Its description in RNAcentral is "lncRNA (ENSCARG00000011006.1)". Lineage: Eukaryota; Metazoa; Chordata; Actinopteri; Cypriniformes; Cyprinidae. The record is from RNAcentral.